GUUCCCGUAGCGGAGUGGUUACCGCGUGACUCUUAUACACUAGGGAUUCCCCUUGGUAGUAUGGUAGAAAUGUCAAGGUCCGGGGUUCGACCCCCCGCGGGAACA
RNAcentral lists this transfer RNA (105 nucleotides) under Claviceps humidiphila. RNAcentral describes it as "tRNA-Ile". It matches the Rfam family "tRNA". Rfam says of the family: Transfer RNA (tRNA) molecules are approximately 80 nucleotides in length. Their secondary structure includes four short double-helical elements and three loops (D, anti-codon, and T loops). The record is from RNAcentral. Lineage: Eukaryota; Fungi; Ascomycota; Sordariomycetes; Hypocreales; Clavicipitaceae.